UACGUAGGGUGCAAGCGUUAAUCGGAAUUACUGGGCGUAAAGCGUGCGCAGGCGGCUUUGCAAGUCAGAUGUGAAAUCCCCGGGCUUAACCUGGGAACUGCAUUUGUGACUGCAUGGCUGGAGUGCGGCAGAGGGGGAUGGAAUUCCGCGUGUAGCAGUGAAAUGCGUAGAGAUGCGGAGGAACACCGAUGGCGAAGGCAGCCCCCUGGGCCAACACUGACGCUCAGGCACGAAAGCGUGGGGAGCAAACAGG
RNAcentral lists this ribosomal RNA (253 nucleotides) under uncultured bacterium. Its description in RNAcentral is "partial 16S ribosomal RNA". It matches the Rfam family "Bacterial small subunit ribosomal RNA", at positions 524 to 776 of the family's 1533-position model. The record is from RNAcentral.